UCAUUUAUGUUCUUCCUCUCUGUGGCCUGCUCCAGGGACUAGCUCCAAACAUUCAGUACUAAAACCCAAUAAUGGGGGUGGUUGCAGUAGUACCAAUAGUACUAAAUUGGUGAAGAAAUGAGUAAUAAGGAUAGUGACUUCUUCCUUUUAUCUCACGGCACUGCCAGGUAGCAGCACUAGGCACACUCAGCACAUUUGUCCCAGGUCAAAGCCAGCCCUGCAGGGUUCGGCUCUGUGGCAGCCCAUUACGGCAGCAGGUAACAAAAAGGCAAGGUCACUGUCUGCCUGUUUCCAAUGUGUGAUCAUAGUCUUCAAGAGACAUCUCAAGACAGCAAACAUCACUGUUACCUCAAGACAUAUCAGGAAGUAUCAGAUUUUUGUCUUCUUGUCUUCUGGAAUGUGUGUCUGCAUAGCAGUUUUCUCUACUCCUUUUUGUAAGCUUUAUAUGGUUUAAACAUCUGGGCCUUCUGAGUCGUUCCAUGCCUGCUUGCCUUAUUAGAGAGUUUGGUGCUGGAGUUCUCCGACUGAACGCCAGAGUCCUUCCCUUUGUUUUUCACAGUGACGUACACGAGAACUUUGAGGUGGUGUAAGAACAGAGGGAUUCGUGGCUAAUAAAUACUUCAUCUAAAUGGUUCCUAAAGAAGACCAGAAGUCUAUCAAAUCGCAGCCCACUGACUCCCUUACUACUUACCAAGAGAGCUAUAAUCACCACUCCUGUCCAUGGGCUAAACAGGUCCCUUCCUGGUGAAGAAGUGGGACGUAUAAGACCUCAGGGCAAAUUACAUUAGAAUUUCAAAUGUUACAAAUAUUUGCAUGAAUGCUGUUCAUCUCACCGAUUUUAAUUGGAAGCCUGAUCAUCUGAAUGUUAAACCCUCAGUGCUUUGCUGAGCUGGGGCUUAUUUUGCUGCCUUUCCUUUUUCAUCUUCUUUCAGUAAUAUUCCAGGACAGAGGGAUACUUGAAGAACAAAAAGAAAUUUCCUGCAACUGCUCUGUUUGGCUUUCCUCUACUCAUUUUCAUAACAAUACUGGGACCACAGGGUUGCACGGGGUGUGUACCCACUAUAUCGUCUUCCUUGCACAGAAGGACGCUGAGACACUGGUUUGUACAGGUGGGUAGGAAGAUAAAUUCCUUUUAAGUAAACUCUUCAGAAAGUUCAGGUUGAACUUCCAGAGCUUGAACUUGAAGAUGGUGAUAGGAUUUGCCCUUUUUCUACACAGUUUCCAGAAGGACAAGAUGUAAUUCUUUCAUCAAAUGGCACAAAUAUGGAACUAAAUUGUCAUAUCGGCUUCAGAUCACCUAGGCAAAUUUCAUCUUUAGAGAGCAUAUUUUUCACUAAUGAAGAAGAAAGGCAAGGAAGAAAAGGAGCUGAAGUGGGAAUUUACAGGAAGAGCGUAAGCGAUGGCUUUGCUCCUCUGUGACUUCAGAGUUGUUUUUGUUAGUGGCAAGGGAACUUUUGCAUGAAGCAAAAAUGACCAGGGAUGCAGAUAUUCUUAAAGAACAAGAUAGGUGUAUGGACUAAAGUGUGUACUAACAACCCUGUAUUUUGGUGCAGGAAGAACCAGGAACUACCCCACCUCUUUUGCUACAAUACUGGAAUCUGCUGAGGUUAAGGUACAUCUAGAUGCAUUCUCAAUAGUUAUAGCUGUUGUAUAGUUUGCAACGGAACACAUCAAAUUAGAGCUACUGAAGGAGUUACUGUCCUCAGUCCUCAGUAGGACUGGACUGUGAAAGCCCCUAUCCCAAUGUAUAUUUUACUUUAACUGGAGUAGAGGAUUCAAAACAUUAUGACUAGUGUCUUCCCAAACCCUGCGUUACCCACAGAGAGAAGCAUAUGCAGAAGGUGCUAUUGAAGUUAGCCUUAAAAAAAAAGACAUUACUGCUUUCAACAAGCAACAAAAAAAAUAACCAAGUAAAACUAGAGGUAAUGUUCUCAUUAAUACAAAAUCCCUUUUAUUCCUAGGUCUGUCAAGUUUUCUGAAAGCUCUUUUAGAGAUGGGUAGAACUGAUCUGUAGCUGGCUGGAUUUGAGGGGAAUGUUUGUUCUGUAUAUCUGCGAACGUCUUGCAGCCAAGAAAGAUUUGAUUAUUUGAAAGAGAAAAAGGAAAAAUUAAUUUUAAGUAACCUCCUAAAAUAAAAUUUCUUGCUACAAAAGCUCUCUUCUGACUCCCUACUGUGAACACAGCAGGGACACAUCUAACUACAGCUGCCCUGCAUGUAGAUUGUGUUAGCAUAACUCACCCACACCCAAAGGCAUACAAAACUAUUUCCAAGGCUUUUGCCUUGUGCUGGCAUUGUGCCAUCUAGGAGUAACAGCCAAAAGGAAAAAUUCCUUUCAGUGACAUUCAUUGACAUAAGCCAGAAACAAGGUAGAAAGAUAUGCUUUUCCCUCCUUCAUUCUUGUGAAGUUAGAGGCAGUGCCGAUUUAAACUGUGACUGAGGCUCUGCAAUGAUGCAAGUCUAUCUUACUACUUCAAAUUAAGUGAUGCAACCUGAGUUUACAUUAAUUAACUUUCAAGGAUUCAACCAAUUUAAAGCUUUUGGACAAUGACAGUUAUUUGAAAACAUUCCUACAGGUUUAUUUUCCUCAUUUACAUUUGUUUCUUAUCUCCGUCUCAUUCAAAGCAGACAGGACUGGUUUGCUUCUCUCUUCUCUGGAAAUUUGCAUUAGGAACCAUUGUUAGAAUCAGAAUCCUGAUCUAAGAGUAUGAUGAAAAAUGCUGCAUUCCAAGCUGGAAAUUGGAGAGGAAAAUGUUCAUGUAUAUGUAAAAAUUGUACUCAAACAACUGAGGUAAACCUUUUAAGGGACUGCAACCAUCUUGCUAAGAUGGUUAGCCAAGUGUACCAGAACAGUAUGUUCUCUUACUGCAACCCUGCAGUUGCAUGGGAUGCAAACCUGUGUGCAUCCCGUGUCCCAGAUCUGGUCGCCAGGAAAAAUUUAUUGUAAGGAACCUCCUUAAAUAAAUUUUCUUGCUUCAAAA
Molecule: long non-coding RNA, 2978 nt
Organism: Cygnus olor (mute swan)
Lineage: Eukaryota; Metazoa; Chordata; Aves; Anseriformes; Anatidae
Exons: 6
Source: RefSeq, a predicted model, not a curated record